This 20-nucleotide small nuclear RNA is filed under the name Arabidopsis thaliana (thale cress). RNAcentral describes it as "snRNA_07653". The record is from RNAcentral. Lineage: Eukaryota; Viridiplantae; Streptophyta; Magnoliopsida; Brassicales; Brassicaceae.
GUUCAUUGCAGACCUCUGUU